Molecule: ribosomal RNA, 526 nt
Filed under: uncultured bacterium
Lineage: Bacteria
Description: bacterial SSU rRNA
Rfam family: Bacterial small subunit ribosomal RNA
Source: RNAcentral
AAUAGAUACCCAGGUAGUCCUAGCCGUAAACUAUGAGCACUGGGUUGGAGGGUCCUCCAUAGCCUUCCAGCCGCAGCGAAAGUGUUAAGUGCUCCGCCUGGGGAGUAUGGUCGCAAGGCUGAAACUCAAAGAAAUUGACGGGGGCUCACACAAGCGGUGGAGGAUGUGGCUUAAUUCGAGGCUACGCGAAGAACCUUAUCCUAGUCUUGACAUGCACGGAUUAACUCCUGGAAACAGGAGCCAGGCCUUCGGGUACAACGUGCACAGGUGCUGCAUGGCUGUCGUCAGCUCGUGCUGUGAAGUGUCGGGUUAAGUCCCUUAACGAGCGAAACCCUUGUCGCUAGUUGCCAGCGAGUAAUGUCGGGGACUCUAGCGAGACCGCCGGCGUUAAGCCGGAGGAAGGCGGGGAUGACGUCAAGUCCUCAUGGCCUUUAUGACUAGGGCUGCACACGUCCUACAAUGGCGCGCACAAAGGGGAUGCAAAAUCGCGAGAUCAAGCAAAUCCCAAAAACGCGCCCCAGUUCGG